Molecule: ribosomal RNA, 254 nt
Filed under: uncultured bacterium
Lineage: Bacteria
Description: partial 16S ribosomal RNA
Rfam family: Bacterial small subunit ribosomal RNA
Source: RNAcentral
UACGAAGGGUGCAAACGUUUGCUCGGAAUUAUUGGGCGUAAAGCGCACGUAGGCGGCUUUGCAAGUCCCAUGUGAAAUCCCACGGCUCAACCGUGGAAGUGCAUGGGAAACUGCAGAGCUUGAGUACUUAAGAGGAUCGCGGAAUUCCCGGUGUAGAGGUGAAAUUCGUAGAUAUCGGGAGGAACACCAGUGGCGAAGGCGGCGAUCUGGGAAGAUACUGACGCUGAGGUGCGAAAGCGUGGGGAGCAAACAGG